This is a long non-coding RNA of Archocentrus centrarchus (flier cichlid), 274 nucleotides long. RefSeq lists it as uncharacterized. The transcript is spliced from 3 exons. Lineage: Eukaryota; Metazoa; Chordata; Actinopteri; Cichliformes; Cichlidae. The record is from RefSeq and is a predicted model, not a curated record.
UCAUCAUCGUCUCUGUGGGUGUAGCAGCACUCAUAACAGCUGUUGUGGUUGUGCGCGUAUGGACCAGAGGUAAAUCAGCACAGACGGCUGAAAAGACCGUGUGUAAUAAUGAAAAUAAUGCACUGUGAUAUUUUCUGCUCUUCUGAUGGAGUUUCACUGACCUUCCUGCCUCUGUCAGAGCCACCAAUCAGCAUCGACCUUUUUAAAAGACACAGCUCCUGCUCUUCCCGGCAGGGAGCGUCACGUAAAGUGCAGCGAUCCAGCAUCAAAUGCA